RNAcentral lists this ribosomal RNA (889 nucleotides) under uncultured delta proteobacterium. RNAcentral's name for it is "bacterial SSU rRNA". It matches the Rfam family "Bacterial small subunit ribosomal RNA", at positions 28 to 896 of the family's 1533-position model. Lineage: Bacteria; Deltaproteobacteria. The record is from RNAcentral.
AACGAACGCUGGCGGCGCGCUUAACACAUGCAAGUCGAACGGUCCCGAUAAAGCCGUAAGGUGAUAUCGGGGUAGUGGCAAACGGGUGAGUAAUACGUGGAUAAUCUACCUUUGAGUGGGGGAUAACUCUACGAAAGUGGAGCUAAUACCGCGUAAGACUACAGAAUCGCAUGAUUCAGUAGUAAAAGGCUUCGGUUUACCGGAGUCGCUUAAGGAUGAGUCCGUGCCUGAUUAGCUAGUUGGUAAGGUAAUAGCUUACCAAGGCAACGAUCAGUAGUCGGCCUGAAAGGGUGUUCGGCCACAUUGGAAUUGAGAUACGGUCCAGACUCCUACGGGAGGCAGCAGUGGGGAAUUUUGCGCAAUGGGGGAAACCCUGACGCAGUGACGCCGCGUGAACGAUGAAGUCCUUCGGGAUGUAAAGUUCUGUCAGGCGGGAAGAAUCCCCCGAUUUUAUCGGGGAAUGACGGUACCGCCAGAGGAAGCACCGGCUAAUUCCGUGCCAGCAGCCGCGGUAACACGGAGGGUGCAAGCGUUGUUCGGAAUUACUAGGCGUAAAGAGCGUGUAGGUGGUUAGCUAAGUCGGAUGUGAAAAUCCCAAGCUUAACUUGGAACGUGCAUUCGAAACUGGUUAACUUGAGUGUAGGAGAGGAGAGCGGAAUUCCUAGUGUAGCGGUGAAAUGCGUAGAUAUUAGGAAGAACACCGGUGGCGAAGGCGGCUCUCUGGCCUAAAACUGACACUGAGACGCGAAAGCGUGGGUGGCGAACAGGAUUAGAUACCCUGGUAGUCCACGCCGUAAACGAUGGGCAUUAGGUGUAGGAGGUACCCAAUCCUUCUGUGCCGAAGUUAACGCAUUAAAUGCCCCGCCUGGGGAGUACGACCGCAAGGUUG